RNAcentral lists this ribosomal RNA (2265 nucleotides) under Salmonella enterica subsp. enterica serovar Enteritidis. Its description in RNAcentral is "partial 23S ribosomal RNA". It matches the Rfam family "Bacterial large subunit ribosomal RNA", at positions 552 to 2802 of the family's 2925-position model. The record is from RNAcentral. Lineage: Bacteria; Pseudomonadati; Pseudomonadota; Gammaproteobacteria; Enterobacterales; Enterobacteriaceae.
GAAACCGUGUACGUACAAGCAGUGGGAGCACCCUUUGGGUGUGACUGCGUACCUUUUGUAUAAUGGGUCAGCGACUUAUAUUCUGUAGCAAGGUUAACCGAAUAGGGGAGCCGGAGGGAAACCGAGUCUUAACCGGGCGUUAAGUUGCAGGGUAUAGACCCGAAACCCGGUGAUCUAGCCAUGGGCAGGUUGAAGGUUGGGUAACACUAACUGGAGGACCGAACCGACUAAUGUUGAAAAAUUAGCGGAUGACCUGUGGCUGGGGGUGAAAGGCCAAUCAAACCGGGAGAUAGCUGGUUCUCCCCGAAAGCUAUUUAGGUAGCGCCUCGUGAAUUCAUCUCCGGGGGUAGAGCACUGUUUCGGCUAGGGGGCCAUCCCGGCUUACCAACCCGAUGCAAACUGCGAAUACCGGAGAAUGUUAUCACGGGAGACACACGGCGGGUGCUAACGUCCGUCGUGAAGAGGGAAACAACCCAGACCGCCAGCUAAGGUCCCAAAGUCAUGGUUAAGUGGGAAACGAUGUGGGAAGGCCCAGACAGCCAGGAUGUUGGCUUAGAAGCAGCCAUCAUUUAAAGAAAGCGUAAUAGCUCACUGGUCGAGUCGGCCUGCGCGGAAGAUGUAACGGGGCUAAACCAUGCACCGAAGCUGCGGCAGCGACACUGUGUGUUGUUGGGUAGGGGAGCGUUCUGUAAGCCUGUGAAGGUGUGUCGUGAGGCAUGCUGGAGGUAUCAGAAGUGCGAAUGCUGACAUAAGUAACGAUAAAGCGGGUGAAAAGCCCGCUCGCCGGAAGACCAAGGGUUCCUGUCCAACGUUAAUCGGGGCAGGGUGAGUCGACCCCUAAGGCGAGGCCGAAAGGCGUAGUCGAUGGGAAACGGGUUAAUAUUCCCGUACUUGGUGUUACUGCGAAGGGGGGACGGAGAAGGCUAUGUUGGCCGGGCGACGGUUGUCCCGGUUUAAGCGUGUAGGUGUGUGUUCCAGGUAAAUCCGGUUCACUUUAACACUGAGGCGUGACGACGAGGCACUACGGUGCUGAAGCAACAAAUGCCCUGCUUCCAGGAAAAGCCUCUAAGCAUCAGGUAACAUCAAAUCGUACCCCAAACCGACACAGGUGGUCAGGUAGAGAAUACCAAGGCGCUUGAGAGAACUCGGGUGAAGGAACUAGGCAAAAUGGUGCCGUAACUUCGGGAGAAGGCACGCUGACACGUAGGUGAAGUGAUUUACUCAUGGAGCUGAAGUCAGUCGAAGAUACCAGCUGGCUGCAACUGUUUAUUAAAAACACAGCACUGUGCAAACACGAAAGUGGACGUAUACGGUGUGACGCCUGCCCGGUGCCGGAAGGUUAAUUGAUGGGGUCAGCGCAAGCGAAGCUCCUGAUCGAAGCCCCGGUAAACGGCGGCCGUAACUAUAACGGUCCUAAGGUAGCGAAAUUCCUUGUCGGGUAAGUUCCGACCUGCACGAAUGGCGUAAUGAUGGCCAGGCUGUCUCCACCCGAGACUCAGUGAAAUUGAACUCGCUGUGAAGAUGCAGUGUACCCGCGGCAAGACGGAAAGACCCCGUGAACCUUUACUAUAGCUUGACACUGAACAUUGAGCCUUGAUGUGUAGGAUAGGUGGGAGGCUUUGAAGUGUGGACGCCAGUCUGCAUGGAGCCGACCUUGAAAUACCACCCUUUAAUGUUUGAUGUUCUAACGUGGACCCGUUACCCGGGUUGCGGACAGUGUCUGGUGGGUAGUUUGACUGGGGCGGUCUCCUCCUAAAGAGUAACGGAGGAGCACGAAGGUUGGCUAAUCCUGGUCGGACAUCAGGAGGUUAGUGCAAUGGCAUAAGCCAGCUUGACUGCGAGCGUGACGGCGCGAGCAGGUGCGAAAGCAGGUCAUAGUGAUCCGGUGGUUCUGAAUGGAAGGGCCAUCGCUCAACGGAUAAAAGGUACUCCGGGGAUAACAGGCUGAUACCGCCCAAGAGUUCAUAUCGACGGCGGUGUUUGGCACCUCGAUGUCGGCUCAUCACAUCCUGGGGCUGAAGUAGGUCCCAAGGGUAUGGCUGUUCGCCAUUUAAAGUGGUACGCGAGCUGGGUUUAGAACGUCGUGAGACAGUUCGGUCCCUAUCUGCCGUGGGCGCUGGAGAACUGAGGGGGGCUGCUCCUAGUACGAGAGGACCGGAGUGGACGCAUCACUGGUGUUCGGGUUGUCAUGCCAAUGGCACUGCCCGGUAGCUAAAUGCGGAAGAGAUAAGUGCUGAAAGCAUCUAAGCACGAAACUUGCCCCGA